This 497-nucleotide ribosomal RNA is filed under the name uncultured bacterium. Its description in RNAcentral is "partial 16S ribosomal RNA". It matches the Rfam family "Bacterial small subunit ribosomal RNA", at positions 28 to 507 of the family's 1533-position model. The record is from RNAcentral.
GAUGAACGCUGGCGGCGUGCCUAAUACAUGCAAGUCGAGCGAACGGACGAGAAGCUUGCUUCUCUGAUGUUAGCGGCGGACGGGUGAGUAACACGUGGAUAACCUACCUAUAAGACUAGGAUAACUUCGGGAAACCGGAGCUAAUACCGGAUGAUAUUUUGAACCGCAUGGUUCAAAAGUGAAAGACGGUCUUGCUGUCUCUUAUAGAUGGAUCCGCGCUGCAUUAGCUAGUUGGUAAGGUAACGGCUUACCAAGGCAACGAUGCAUAGCCGACCUGAGAGGGUGAUCGGCCACACUGGAACUGAGACACGGUCCAGACUCCUACGGGAGGCAGCAGUAGGGAAUCUUCCGCAAUGGGCGAAAGCCUGACGGAGCAACGCCGCGUGAGUGAUGAAGGUCUUCGGAUCGUAAAACUCUGUUAUUAGGGAAGAACAGAUGUGUAAGUAACUGUGCACAUCUUGACGGUACCUAAUCAGAAAGCCACGGCUAACUACGUG